This 498-nucleotide ribosomal RNA is filed under the name uncultured bacterium. RNAcentral describes it as "partial 16S ribosomal RNA". It matches the Rfam family "Bacterial small subunit ribosomal RNA", at positions 29 to 523 of the family's 1533-position model. The record is from RNAcentral.
AUUGAACGCUGGCGGCAUGCCUUACACAUGCAAGUCGAACGGUAACGCGGGGCAACCUGGCGACGAGUGGCGAACGGGUGAGUAAUGCAUCGGAACGUGCCCAGUAGUGGGGGAUAGCCCGGCGAAAGCCGGAUUAAUACCGCAUACGACCUACGGGUGAAAGCGGGGGACCGUAAGGCCUCGCGCUAUUGGAGCGGCCGAUGUCAGAUUAGGUUGUUGGUGGGGUAAAAGCCUACCAAGCCGACGAUCUGUAACUGGUCUGAGAGGACGACCGGCCACACUGGGACUGAGACACGGCCCAGACGCCUACGGGAGGCAGCAGUGGGGAAUUUUGGACAAUGGGGGCAACCCUGAUCCAGCCAUGCCGCGUGCGGGAAGAAGGCCUUCGGGUUGUAAACCGCUUUUGUCAGGGAAGAAACGCUCUGGGCUAAUACCCCGGGGUAAUGACGGUACCUGAAGAAUAAGCACAGGCUAACUACGUGCCAGCCGCCGCGGUAA